This 743-nucleotide long non-coding RNA is filed under the name Triticum aestivum (bread wheat). RNAcentral's name for it is "long non-coding RNA (TAES_LNC025212)". Lineage: Eukaryota; Viridiplantae; Streptophyta; Magnoliopsida; Poales; Poaceae. The record is from RNAcentral.
AAAAAUAUGUAGAGCUCAUUCCCACAUCAUCUCAACAAGAUAUUUAAUUAAAUGUUAUGUUUCAAUGCACACAUUUCAAUAGAAUUUCAAAUAUGAAUAUGUGAAAUCAAAUUCAAAUCACACAAGUUCACAAGUCAUACCAAAAUCAAUAGUGUAGUUCAUAUGGUAGAAAUAACAUAAAGCAAAGUUCAUCUAAAAGAAACCAGAGGCAACAUUGACAAUAGAUCAAGCACCCACAUUGCUACUUCCAGUUCCCAAGUACAUUUGAUCUUGGCAAGAUUGAUGAAUGUUUUGGCACUCCUAAGAUCUCACAACGAGCUUGCUCCCAAUAUUGUUUUGACGUCUCAUCCAAUAUUGAAGCAUCCAUGAGCAUGAGCGCUUGCUCUCGCUCCUUAAUCUUCUUUGUCUCUACCAUGGAGGUGAUCAUCAAUCUUUCCUCCUCGAGGGCAAUUUUCUUCCCCUUGGUCCGGACAAUAGGAUCUGAGAAAUAACACCAAGGGGCAGAAGAUUCUCAUGGGAUGUUGCACUACCAUGGUUGGGAAGGGGUGGACUCCCCGAUAGAAAAGGAUGAUUGGUCCGUGAGUUUGCAAAAUGCUCGUACCUGUUUUCAUAUGGCAAUUGAUCACCAACAUUAGCUACAGGAACAAUGUGACUAAGAACAUGUUGAGUCCUGUAUUCAAAAUGGUAUUGGCUUGUCCUUGAAUGAUAUGUUGAAUCUUGAGUUGUAUUGGUCAAAUUUACUG